AUUAAUGUAGCAAAAAUCGGCCAUGCAAAAGACCUAAACCCUUUCAAUAGGGGUUCAAAUCCCCUCAUUAACC
This 73-nucleotide transfer RNA is filed under the name Synapturanus sp. USNM 588794. Its description in RNAcentral is "tRNA-Leu". It matches the Rfam family "tRNA". Rfam says of the family: Transfer RNA (tRNA) molecules are approximately 80 nucleotides in length. Their secondary structure includes four short double-helical elements and three loops (D, anti-codon, and T loops). The record is from RNAcentral. Lineage: Eukaryota; Metazoa; Chordata; Amphibia; Anura; Microhylidae.